GGGGUCAUUAGGUUGGUCGUGCCACCGGUACGUACUGGUCUCACUGAUUCCUCCUUCCUGAAGAACCGUAAUGCCAUUAAUUUGGUGUUGCGGGGAAACAGGACUGUUACUUUGAAAAAAUUAGAGUGUUUAAAGCAAGCUAACGCUUGAAUACAUUAGCAUGGAAUAAUGAAAUAGGACGAUCGAUCCUAUUUUGUUGGUUUCCAGGAUUGACGUA
Molecule: ribosomal RNA, 217 nt
Filed under: Glomeromycotina sp.
Lineage: Eukaryota; Fungi; Glomeromycota
Description: partial small subunit ribosomal RNA
Rfam family: Eukaryotic small subunit ribosomal RNA (bases 41-217)
Source: RNAcentral